AAAUUUUUAUUUAAAUAAAAAUUUAUAGUAAUAUUUCUUAAUAAUGUAAAUAUUAAAUUUUAAAUAAACUAAAAUUUUU
This 79-nucleotide transfer RNA is filed under the name Lysiphlebus fabarum. RNAcentral describes it as "transfer RNA-Val". The record is from RNAcentral. Lineage: Eukaryota; Metazoa; Arthropoda; Insecta; Hymenoptera; Braconidae.